RNAcentral lists this transfer RNA (123 nucleotides) under Lachnellula subtilissima. It matches the Rfam family "tRNA". From Rfam's summary of the family: Transfer RNA (tRNA) molecules are approximately 80 nucleotides in length. Lineage: Eukaryota; Fungi; Ascomycota; Leotiomycetes; Helotiales; Lachnaceae. The record is from Rfam by way of RNAcentral.
GGUGACUUGGCCGAGCGGUUAUGGCGCCAGUUUCAGGUUCACUUGAAGCAAAACUUUCUGUUUCAACAGAAAGGAUUAUCAUACUGGUUCGAAAGAGCGUGGGUUCGAAUCCCACAGUCAUCA